CCUACGGGUGGCAGCAGUGGGGAAUAUUGGUCAAUGGGCUUAACCCUGAACCAGCCAAGUCGCGUGAGGGAGGACUUCCCUCUGGAUUUUAAACCUCUUUUGUCGGGGAGCAACUCCGGCUACGUGUCGCCGGACUGAGAGUACAUUACGAACAAGCAUCGGCUGAAUCCGUUCCAGCAGCCGCGGUAAUACGGGGGAUUAGAGCGUUAUCGGGAUUUAUUGGGUUAAAGGGUUUCGUAGGAGGAAUGCAAAUUCAGCUGUAAAAUCGCGGGGCUAAACCUCGCUCCGCAGUUGAAACUGGUGUUCUAGAGUGGGCGAGAAGCAUGCGGAAUGCGUGGUGUAGCGGUGAAAUGCAUAGAUAUCACGAAGAACUCCGAUUGCGAAGGCAGCAUACUGGAGGAUAACUGACGUUGAAGCACGAAAGCGUGGGUAUCGAACAGGAUUAGAUACCCUUGUAGUC
This 460-nucleotide ribosomal RNA is filed under the name uncultured bacterium. Its description in RNAcentral is "partial 16S ribosomal RNA". It matches the Rfam family "Bacterial small subunit ribosomal RNA", at positions 338 to 795 of the family's 1533-position model. The record is from RNAcentral.